Non-coding RNA from Schistosoma haematobium, 45 nucleotides. The record is from Rfam. Lineage: Eukaryota; Metazoa; Platyhelminthes; Trematoda; Strigeidida; Schistosomatidae.
AUUCAGAUGACGAGUCCCAAAUAGGACGACACGUACGUCCUGGAU